RNAcentral lists this ribosomal RNA (490 nucleotides) under uncultured bacterium. Its description in RNAcentral is "partial 16S ribosomal RNA". It matches the Rfam family "Bacterial small subunit ribosomal RNA", at positions 30 to 507 of the family's 1533-position model. The record is from RNAcentral.
AUUGAACGCUGGCGGCAGGCCUAACACAUGCAAGUCGAACGGUAACAGGAAGAAGCUUGCUUCUUUGCUGACGAGUGGCGGACGGGUGAGUCAUGUCUGGGAAACUGCCUGAUGGAGGGGGAUAACUACUGGAAACGGUAGCUAAUACCGCAUAAUGUCGCAAGACCAAAGAGGGGGACCUUCGGGCCUCUUGCCAUCGGAUGUGCCCAGAUGGGAUUAGCUAGUAGGUGGGGUAACGGCUCACCUAGGCGACGAUCCCUAGCUGGUCUGAGAGGAUGACCAGCCACACUGGAACUGAGACACGGUCCAGACUCCUACGGGAGGCAGCAGUGGGGAAUAUUGCACAAUGGGCGAAAGCCUGAUGCAGCUAUGCCGCGUGUAUGAAGAAGGCCUUCGGGUUGUAAAGUACUUUCAGCGGGGAGGAAGGGAGUAAAGUUAAUACCUUUGCUCAUUGACGUUACCCGCAGAAGAAGCACCGGCUAACUCCGUG